GGAAAAUAACAGGAGCAUGGGAUAACACAAAAGUUGAGAGAAUGUUAAAUAAUGAAGAGGACAGAUGCUCUGGAAACUGGAUGCAAGCAAAAAACAUUUGUUUCCAUACAGACAAAUGUAUAUAUGUAGCCAUAUCUAGUAACAGAAUAUGAAGUGACCAACAAGAAUAAAGUUCAUGUGUGUGAACAGCAGAACUGUGGUCUGAGGUUAUGGAAUAAACUCCUCCAAGAACUAAGGACCACAACAAACCUCACCAUUUUCUGUUCCAAGUGCAAGGUGUUUUCUUUAACUUUGCCUUCUCUAGUGUAAACACAUAGCAACAGAUAUAUUUAUUUAAAAAACAAACAAACAAACA
Mauremys reevesii (Reeves's turtle) is the source of this 355-nucleotide long non-coding RNA. RefSeq lists it as uncharacterized. The record is from RefSeq and is a predicted model, not a curated record. The transcript has 3 exons. NCBI's taxonomy places the organism in Eukaryota, Metazoa, Chordata, Testudines, Geoemydidae.